RNAcentral lists this small nuclear RNA (107 nucleotides) under Marmota marmota marmota (Alpine marmot). The record is from RNAcentral. Lineage: Eukaryota; Metazoa; Chordata; Mammalia; Rodentia; Sciuridae.
GUGUUUGCUUCAGCAGCACAUAUACUAAAAUUUGAACCAUAUAGAGAAGAUUGACAUGGCCCCUGUGCAAGGAUGACAUGCAAAUUUGUGAAGCAUUACAUAUUUUU